RNAcentral lists this ribosomal RNA (503 nucleotides) under uncultured bacterium. Its description in RNAcentral is "partial 16S ribosomal RNA". It matches the Rfam family "Bacterial small subunit ribosomal RNA", at positions 30 to 523 of the family's 1533-position model. The record is from RNAcentral.
AUUGAACGCUGGCGGCAUGCCUUACACAUGCAAGUCGAACGGAGUGAUGGUGCUUGCACUAUCACUUAGCGGCGGACGGGUGAGUAAUGCUUAGGAAUCUGCCUAUUAGUGGGGGACAACAUCUCGAAAGGGAUGCUAAUACCGCGUACGUCCUACGGGAGAAAGCAGGGGAUCACUUGUGACCUUGCGCUAAUAGAUGAGCCUAAGUCGGAUUAGCUAGUUGGGGGGGUAAAGGCCUACCAAGGCGACGAUCUGUAGCGGGUCUGAGAGGAUGAUCCGCCACACUGGGACUGGGACACGGCCCAGACUCCUACGGGAGGCAGCAGUGGGGAAUAUUGGACAAUGGGGGGAACCCUGAUCCAGCCAUGCCGCGUGUGUGAAGAAGGCCUUAUGGUUGUAAAGCACUUUAAGCGAGGAGGAGGCUCUUUUGGUUAAUACCCAAGAUGAGUGGACGUUACUCGCAGAAUAAGCACCGGCUAACUCUGUGCCAGCCGCCGCCGUAA